Molecule: long non-coding RNA, 269 nt
Filed under: Priapulus caudatus
Lineage: Eukaryota; Metazoa; Priapulida; Priapulimorpha; Priapulimorphida; Priapulidae
Description: uncharacterized LOC106818481
Source: RNAcentral
GUCAACGAAAGCGAAUGUGAGAAUAUAAAUAAAUGAUGCUUUUAUGCACCGAUAGUAGAGAAGGAGCUACGCUGAGAUGUGUGAUUUUUUAAAUAUUUUUAGACAGCGCCAAACGGCAGCAGACGAUUCAGGAGACGUCGGCAGUGACGCACUAGAAGCGCCCCACGUGUCAGGACAGUGAUCAGCAUCGCCAGGGGUCGCCAGCUACUGCUACACGUGCCUGAACUACGAUAAAGAAACAAUUUCAAGUAUCGAAAAGCGGAUAGAAC